AUCAAAUCCGCAAUUGUGUAAAAUGAAUAGGCAUCAAGAAAAACUAACUCUUAAACCACAGGAAUCCGAGGGAUGGAGGUCAAAGCCACAGGAAAGGAAGUUUCCCCGAAGAGGCCACUCCCACCCAGUGACUUUCCAGUUCAAGGUGGAGUAGGCGCCAGUUCAUCUCUGCCUUAACCCCGGGACAAGUUUGGGGGCCUCUCUUAGAGCUGGAAAGCAGCGGGGCAGCCGUUCCGCUGGCUUCAGGCAGCGGCUCCGCCUCCAGCUUGGCCGACUCCGGACCGCGCUGGGGGGACCCGGCGCAUCUGCGCAGGGCAAGGGAGGAAAAUUCUUGAAUACGCAGGAUCCAGGAAACGAAACCCAGAGCCCCUGGUGUCCGCGCCAAAGUUUCCUCGCUAGCUUUCACUCAAAGGCGUUUCCUCGCUAGCUUCAGGGGAGGUUGUGUAACACCUGUGCCAUCAGCAAAAGAGUCGAGAGGAACGCAGCCUCCACCUGGCGCCCGGAUUCCCAACAGCCUGAGCCACAGGUGAGAGAGGGCUUUCUCCGCCGCCUCUCCGCCGCGGGGGCGCGGGACCUGCGCACGUUUCUGGGAGCGACCUAGGUGAAGCGAGCUGCCCGUGCGGAGAGGCACAAGGGUCCUUGUGUCCUGUUUGCUCUGUGGGUAGAAGUUGGGGAGGGAAUUCUGAGGGACCUGGAAUGAGCUCGGGAAUGGAGCAGAGAUUCAGCCAGGACCCAAGCUGUGCGGGUGGUAUUCUUGGCCCAUCCCAGGACCUUUAUAAUGACAAAGGUGUGUCCUGUUGGGGGUGUGGAGGAUCCCCAAGGGCUCUACUUGCAGUUAGUGGCACCACUUCACAAUUCAGAGAGCAGUACUAAAUCAUGGCCAGAAGGUGAGCGCAGAGCUUGGGCCAACUUCGUGGGGCAUUAUAAGGCAGGAUUAGUAAAACUGCUAGCUGCCAUUGAACAGCAAACAUUAAUAGGAUUAUGGCUGCAGCUCAAACUAUGUUUGGCAAUCCGGAAUACAAGACGAAUAAGAAAGAUAGAGGGGUAGACCGGCAUGGUGGGUGAGCCCUUCAGAUGCCCGCUUCCAUCCUGCCUCACGUCCAUGGGCUCUGGGCCAGUGUCUUCACUCAUGUUCCUUUAGCUGCCUCAUCUCUGAAAUCUCUGAAAUUGUGUAACUAUUACAAGAACCACCAAGUUAAGAAAGAGCAUUACGUGCAUUAAUAUAAGGUGUGAGAGUCCCACCUGGCACUGCAGAAGGUCCCCAGGCAAAGCUCGCUUCCAUUAUUUCAAGUAUUUGGCAAAGUGCCUGCUGCUCCUUGCUGACCCCACCCCCCACCCCCGGGGCGGGGGGGGGGGGGUUUUAUUGAUGCCUUGGAUUCCUGGAUGUCUGGGCAGGACCACUUCCCAGUUCCAGAAACCAGAGUCACUUCUUCAAGUUUGGCAACUGGAGACAUGUUAGAGAGCUGCAGCUUGGUGAGAAGUCUUAGGCACAUCAGGGCUCUUUCCCCUUCCUGAUCCUGCCUUACAGCAGAACUUUCUCUUAAGUAGGGCUUUGAACAAUGAGCACACACGGAAAUUAAAAAAAAAAAAAAUGAGUUUCUACAUUUGGAUAGAAAAGCAUCGUGUAAAUAAGGUGGAUGAUAGACCAAGAUCUGUAAAGGGGCUUAGCGCACAGGCGGAGGGACAUUACAGUAGGUGAACUGCCCCUGUGCACCCUCCAUCCUCACCUCUGAGGAGCUUCUCCCUUCCCUGUUCUGCCAUCUCACCGACCUCUCAUUCCUGGGUGAGUCAAGACACUUCUGGGAGUCUACACUUCUGAGGUGUGGUGUCCCCCUCCCCCCGCCCCCAUUCAGUGUCCCUGGUAUACACCCCACAAGCAUAACUUCAUGACCUGGAUGCUUAUAGACAUUUUUUUAGCUUUCCUGACAAUACCAUCACAGCUAUCAUCUAAGUAAGGAUUUAGAUAUGUCAUCUACCUGUAGUAAUUUAAUUAUCUUAAUUGUUUAAAUCCCCAAGUGCCUUUGUAUAGUACUCAAAUGCCUGGAUAGAGACUUGCUUGUUCUGUAUCUAAAAUUAGUACUCUUGAGAAUCACGUUUUCCACUUGGUGAAUACUGAGAUGGUAAAUGUUUAUGUAAGCAUACAGGAGGAUGUGUGUACCAUGAAUGUAUGUGUUUCAUACACACUCACACACACACUAUAACACAAUAUUGCAUAGUGCCCAAUACCCCCGUUAAUAAAUACUAACAAAUGUUUGCUUUCCAAAUUUUGUUUGAUAAAUGCUUAGAAAAUCCUUAUCUGGCCUAGUAAAAAAAAAAAUGUACAUGGCCACAAGAGCAACAAAACUUUUCUGUCUUACAUAUGAAAGGCAUUACAUUAAAGGCGGUCUCUAACAAAUGUCAUUGAAAGUUGGGAGCCGACUUGGAAGAUGAGUUUUUGUUUCUUUCACCUCUUUGGUUUAUUGUUAGUUUUGUAAAACCCUGGACACUACUAAGUUUGUCUGAGUAGAUGUAUGAUCUACAUUCUUAUUCAAGGUUUACAGUAAAAUACUAUAAGAAUCUAUCCCCAAAUGUUUUUUUUUUAGGUUUGUAUCUUUUUAAAAAAAUUUUUAUUUGUUUUAAUUAGUUACACAUGACAGUACAAUGACCUUGACAUAUCAUACAUUUGAAUCAGAUGGGAUAUAAUUUCUCAUUUUUUCUGAGUGUACAGGUUGCAGAAUCACAUUGGUCAUGCAGUCAUGUAUAUACACACAGCAAUAAUAAUGUCUAUUUCAUUCCACUAUCCUUUCUUUCCAAAAUGGUUCUAAGCACAUUUGUUUUGUUUUCUUGAGCCCAAACUACAGAAGUGGAUUUUACGGAAGACUUCCUGUUACAAGCUACUUUGCACUUAAAAUCUGCCUCCAUCCUGCAUCAGACACCUAUUUUGCAAGUCUAUGUCCUGCUGUAUCAAAUUACUUCCCUUUCCCCUUUCCUCCCCCUCCACCCAUUCCUGUAAAUGCCCUUGUUUUGCUCUGCUUAUCUAUUAACAUAACCACAAUUAAACAGAUGCAAUAUUUUUCUCAUUAGCUGUUCAUGAAACAUUUUUAAAUGCACACAGUUUACCCACAAACAUAAUGAGAAGGACGUUAAAAUCACUUAAUUUUUGACUAUCCUCAAAAAAUUUUGUCUUCUUCUCCUGGCCUACUCCAGUGACCCUCCUUUUCCUCUUCAGAUCAUGCAUCACCAUCUUGGUAUUGAACUUGUUUAUAUUGUGUUUUUGGUUUGCAGGAGAUGGAGGUGGGGGAAAUUUGUGGUUAGAUAAUUAACAAGUAAAUCCAGGUAAAUAAACCAAAUCUAUUUUAUGUACAUUGUGUAGACAUAGUAAUUUUAUGAUCUUCUAAAAAUACUUUUUGAAAGCAAUAAAAAUUUUAGGAUCCUAAGUGUUCGGUCAGAGGUUGUCACUGUAGUAUGAGUUAUGAAGUCACAGCUGAAAAUCUCCAUCCUUUUUCUCCCUCUCCCUAGUGGGAGUAUUUUACAAUGAUCAAAUAGCCCAGAGCAGCAAUAGGGACUUAUGACAUUUGACAGAACAACUUAUAUAUAUAUAUAUUUCUGUAACAUAUGAUGCUAAAAUUACCACCAAAGUUCUCAUUCAAUGUAGGAAGAAGUAUGCAACCAUCAGAUUAUAUUUUGGAGUUCUGUUUGUUCAGGUGUAAUUAUGAUUCCAAUCAUACAAUAUAUAUUAUGAGUUUAUUAUAGACUUUUUACUCUGGAUGCAUCAUAAAUAUGAUUUCCUCUUCCUGGAAAAAAUAUAUAUUUAUUUAUAUUUAUAUAUGAUUAGCAAGAACCAUUAUUUAAAAGCUGUUAUGUUAAAUUUACUAAUUCAAUCAGGGCACACCUAAUUAUUUCCAAAAUGAAUGAUAUGUCUUGAAAUAGAUCCAUUAAAGUUGAGAAAACGGAAAGAUGCUCCUAACAGCCAAUAAGAGGUCAGGAAGAGAAGGCACCCACAUGGUAGAUGACUAUAUUUAUCAAGUAAAUAGCACUCUAUUAUAAUAGAAAACUACUGUUAAAAUUAAUUGGCACCUGAAAAGAUAAAAGAACCAAUUAACAUUUGGAUAUUGCUUAUGACAUACCAGUUUUAAUGCUUAAGAUAUUUUGUAAUUGCUACAUUUAAAACCUAUAGUAAAGCCGGGCUCUGUAGCACACACCUUUUAUCCCAGGGGCUCUGGAUGUUGAGGCAGGAGGAUUAUGAGUUCAAAGCCAGCCCCAGCAAUUUAGCAAGGUCCAAAGCAACUUAGAAAGUCUCUAUUUCAAAAUAAAAUACAAAAGGGCUGGGAUGUGGCUCAGUUCAGAGCCCCUGGGUUCAAUUCCUGGUAUGUGUGUGUAUACAGUAAAAUGAGGAUCCAGAUUUUAUUCUACAGCAUUUUUGCCAAUAGGUACUCAAUUUCACUUAUAUUUUAAGACUCAAAAUAAUGCAACCAACUAGGAGGAGAAAGAGCAAGUAGGAACAAUUGAGUCCUGUUUUGUACUCUGUUUAGUUUCCCUUCCUAGGAUUUCUGGAUCAGGAGGGAAUGAUCUGUAACCCUAGGAAAAUACUGUGUUUUCUCUUAGUUGGUACUCGUUAGGAAGGGAUCUGGAACCUUCCAGUACUACGUCCUUAAGAUCCACCUGACAUGAUGUACAAAAUUAGCUUAUGAAAUUUCUCAUCUUUCUAGUUUACAAGUAUUUGUGGCUUGCUGGACUUCCUAGCUCCAAACAACUAAGUUCUAAGAAGAAAUACUUUUUAAACACAAACAAAAAUAUUUUCCAUCUCUGAUGUAUAGGUUUGCAAUCCAGAAGCUAAAGGAUCUUUCGUUUUUUAAAAUUCAGUUCACAAAAUAUAAAGAAUAAAAUUCUGCCUGUGUUUUUCCUUUUGGAUGUUAUUUAGGAUUUGUCCAAUAUACUGUUUGGUGCCUUUCUGAUAUUGGUAGGCAAGUUGAAAAAGACUGGAAAAAAAAAAAAGGUCCCUUAAAAUUACUGUUAAAGGGCUGGGGAUAUACCUCAGUUGGUAGAGUGCUUGCCUCACAUGCAUAAGGCCCUGGUUCAAUCCCCAGCACCACAGAAAAAGAAAAGAAAAGAAAAUUACUGUUAAAAUUAAUUAAAAGGCAUUUAACUAAGCUUAUUGAAGAUUGAUGUCUUAAAAGAUGCAGGUGACAGAUAAAAACUUUUGAGAUAUGUAGUUCAGCAUAUUAACUAAGGGAUACUGCCUAUUUCUGUACUAGAAUUUAUCAGUCAUUUAAUUUGUAUGUAUCUGUGAAGAUACUUAGUCUACUUUAUGCAAAUAGGUAUUCCUUUUAAUGUAUCAACACCAAUAUGGUGUUGACCAAAUUCAUCAUGAGAUUUUGCAUAUAUGAAUUCAGUCUCUGUUUACAGUUCUUUCUCUGAUGGAUCUUUCUACUCAGUACUUCUGUCCUGCAGUACUUUGAUCCUAUCUCAGGCUUUUCCACCUCUGUUCAGUCUCCUCCCUACCUACUGUAAAUUCCAACCCCAUUUUAUGUGUGCUGAUUACAGUGAAAACAUGGGGCAAAAUUCAGUUAUGCAACUGUUUUAUCUCCAACCCACAUGCUCAGACAAGCUGCCCUUCCUCUUCCCAGGCCCACCCACUGUUGGUGGCUCUUUUGCUGACUCCUACGUCAUAGACUGACUGAUAACCUCCAAAGUCCUAUAUGUAAACCCAGCCUAGGGAGUCAGAUCAAGCCCAGAAACUCCCAAUGCCUGGAUGAGGCUAGAGUCAGCUAAUGAAGAGGACUGUCCCUUGAGUGUGACUCUGUAGUUCUAGUGGACUGUCUUUCCACCGUCAUAUUUGACCUAUAAACUCAUAGACAGUGCACUAAUAUCAGAUCUUUUUUUUUUCCAGAACUAUUUAAAUCAUGGAGAAACACAGUAAGUAAUUCAUAAGUAUUUACU
Molecule: long non-coding RNA, 5919 nt
Filed under: Marmota monax (woodchuck)
Lineage: Eukaryota; Metazoa; Chordata; Mammalia; Rodentia; Sciuridae
Source: RNAcentral